This 422-nucleotide ribosomal RNA is filed under the name uncultured bacterium. RNAcentral describes it as "bacterial SSU rRNA". It matches the Rfam family "Bacterial small subunit ribosomal RNA", at positions 355 to 774 of the family's 1533-position model. The record is from RNAcentral.
UGGGGAAUAUUGGUCAAUGGACGAGAGUCUGAACCAGCCAUGCCGCGUGAAGGAUGAAGGCGUUCUGCGUUGUAAACUUCUUUUGCGGGGGAAGAAACCUUGAUAUUCUUAUCAAGCCGACGGUACCGUAAGAAUAAGCACCGGCUAACUACGUGCCAGCAGCCGCGGUAAUACGUAGGGUGCAAGCGUUAAUCGGAAUUACUGGGCGUAAAGCGCACGCAGGCGGUCUGUCAAGUCGGAUGUGAAAUCCCCGGGCUCAACCUGGGAACUGCAUUCGAAACUGGCAGGCUAGAGUCUUGCAGAGGGAGGUGGAAUUCCGCGUGUAGCAGUGAAAUGCGUAGAGAUGCGGAGGAACACCGAUGGCGAAGGCAGCCUCCUGGGCCAGUACUGACGCUCAUGCACGAAAGCGUGGGGAGCAAACA